GGGGAAAGCUUUUGCGGUGUGGGAUGGGCCCGCGGCCUAUCAGCUUGNUGGUGAGGUUACGGCUCACCAAGGCGACGACGGGUAGCCGGCCUGAGAGGGUGACCGGCCACACUGGGACUGAGAUACGGCCCAGACUCCUACGGGAGGCAGCAGUGGGGAAUAUUGCACAAUGGGCGCAAGCCUGAUGCAGCGACGCCGCGUGGGGGAUGACGGCCUUCGGGUUGUAAACCUCUUUCAGUAGGGACGAAGCGCAAGUGACGGUACCUACAGAAGAAGGACCGGCCAACUACGUGCCAGCAGCCGCGGUAAUACGUAGGGUCCGAGCGUUGUCCGGAAUUACUGGGCGUAAAGAGCUCGUAGGUGGUUUGUCGCGUUGUUCGUGAAAACCGGGGGCUUAACCCUCGGCGUGCGGGCGAUACGGGCAGACUUGAGUACUGCAGGGGAGACUGGAAUUCCUGGUGUAGCGGUGGAAUGCGCAGAUAUCAGGAGGAACACCGGUGGCGAAGGCGGGUCUCUGGGCAGUAACUGACGCUGAGGAGCGAAAGCGUGGGGAGCGAACAGGAUUAGAUACCCUGGUAGUCCACGCCGUAAACGGUGGGUACUAGGUGUGGG
RNAcentral lists this ribosomal RNA (612 nucleotides) under Mycobacterium sp. RNAcentral describes it as "bacterial SSU rRNA". It matches the Rfam family "Bacterial small subunit ribosomal RNA", at positions 199 to 826 of the family's 1533-position model. Lineage: Bacteria; Bacillati; Actinomycetota; Actinomycetes; Mycobacteriales; Mycobacteriaceae. The record is from RNAcentral.